UACAGAGGUCUCAAGCGUUGUUCGGAUUCAUUGGGCGUAAAGAGCGUGUAGGCGGCCAGCUAAGUCCGCUGUGAAAUCUCGAGGCUCAACUUCGAGCUGUCGGUGGAAACUGUCUGGCUAGAGUCCGGAAGAGGAGAAUGGAAUUCCUGGUGUAGCGGUGAAAUGCGCAGAUAUCAGGAAGAACACCCGUGGCGAAGGCGGUUCUCUGGGACGGUACUGACGCUGAGACGCGAAAGCGUGGGGAGCGAACAGG
RNAcentral lists this ribosomal RNA (253 nucleotides) under uncultured bacterium. RNAcentral describes it as "partial 16S ribosomal RNA". It matches the Rfam family "Bacterial small subunit ribosomal RNA", at positions 524 to 776 of the family's 1533-position model. The record is from RNAcentral.